AGAGUUUGAUCCUGGCUCAGAACGAACGCUGGCGGCAUGCCUAACACAUGCAAGUCGGACGCUGCUUGGGGUUUCGGCCCCAUGUGGAGUGGCGCACGGGUGAGUAGCGCGUGGGAACCUGUCCUUUUGUGGGGGAUAACCGAGGGAAACUUCGGCUAAUACCGCAUGCGCCCCCGGACUUGAUCCGGGGGGAAAGAUUU
RNAcentral lists this ribosomal RNA (200 nucleotides) under uncultured bacterium. RNAcentral describes it as "partial 16S ribosomal RNA". It matches the Rfam family "Bacterial small subunit ribosomal RNA", at positions 8 to 210 of the family's 1533-position model. The record is from RNAcentral.